CUGGCUCAGAGCGAACGCUGGCGGCAGGCUUAACACAUGCAAGUCGAGCGGGCCCUU
Molecule: ribosomal RNA, 57 nt
Filed under: Methylobacterium sp. 174MFSha1.1
Lineage: Bacteria; Pseudomonadati; Pseudomonadota; Alphaproteobacteria; Hyphomicrobiales; Methylobacteriaceae
Description: 16S rRNA. Bacterial SSU
Source: RNAcentral